CGUACCGGUUACCAGGGUUUAGGUAUAAAUACCAAAACUCUUCCACAUUUAUUUUCUCCCUCCGUCAGUGCGCCAUUUAGGGUUUCAAAGGCGGCUAAGCAAGAGAGAGCGAGCUUCUGUGUGCAGGACCACCAUGAGGGCCAAGUGGAAGAAGAAGCGCAUGAGGAGAUUGAAGAGGAAGCGCCGAAAGAUGAGACAGAGAUCGAAGUAGACAAGUGGCUUCCUUAGGGAUUAUUUCUUUAAUUGCCGUUUUUGGGUCUUGUGGGAAGGGUUUGUGACUUAAUUUUUUUUUCAAUUUGCUGUUCUUUUAAGUCUGUCCUUGUCUUUGCAACUUAAUCAUUAUUGAUACUGGAUUUUUCGGUUUUGUUAACAAUUGAUAGAUAUCAUAUGGAUUUUUCUCGUCUGGAUCUUGACUUUGUGGAUGUAUAGAUUUGCCUCAGAUUGUCUAUCAAUAGACUUGGAAUUGUGUUCU
Tripterygium wilfordii is the source of this 472-nucleotide long non-coding RNA. RefSeq lists it as uncharacterized. The record is from RefSeq and is a predicted model, not a curated record. The transcript has 2 exons. Lineage: Eukaryota; Viridiplantae; Streptophyta; Magnoliopsida; Celastrales; Celastraceae.